GGCAGAAAAAAGCCGAAUUUCCCUAACGGGAAUACGGGGGAACAAUUUUGGGGUGAAUCCUUAUACGACGUAUAAGGUAGGGCGCCUCGGCCCAAACCCGUCAACUAACCUCGGAGGCUGUUAGGAGGGAAAAA
Molecule: small RNA, 134 nt
Filed under: Thermoclostridium stercorarium
Lineage: Bacteria; Bacillati; Bacillota; Clostridia; Eubacteriales; Oscillospiraceae
Also listed under: 1 other name
Description: Clostridium stercorarium c-di-AMP sequence
Rfam family: c-di-AMP riboswitch aptamer (ydaO/yuaA leader)
About the family: This family represents a conserved RNA structure found upstream of the ydaO and yuaA genes in Bacillus subtilis and related genes in other bacteria. The ydaO/yuaA element is thought to act as a genetic "off" switch for the ydaO and yuaA genes in its native state.
Source: RNAcentral